RNAcentral lists this ribosomal RNA (254 nucleotides) under uncultured bacterium. Its description in RNAcentral is "partial 16S ribosomal RNA". It matches the Rfam family "Bacterial small subunit ribosomal RNA", at positions 524 to 776 of the family's 1533-position model. The record is from RNAcentral.
UACGUAGGGGGCGAGCGUUGUCCGGAUUUAUUGGGCGUAAAGAGCUCGUAGGCGGUUUGGUAAGUUGGAUGUGAAAUCUCCAGGCUCAACUUGGAGGGGUCAUUCGAUACUGCCAUGACUAGAGUUCGGUAGGGGAGUGUGGAAUUCCUGGUGGAGCGGUGAAAUGCGCAGAUAUCAGGAGGAACACCCGUAGCGAAGGCGGCACUCUGGGCCGGAACUGACGCUGAGGAGCGAAGGCGUGGGGAGCGAACAGG